Carlito syrichta (Philippine tarsier) is the source of this 1194-nucleotide long non-coding RNA. RefSeq lists it as uncharacterized. NCBI's taxonomy places the organism in Eukaryota, Metazoa, Chordata, Mammalia, Primates, Tarsiidae. The record is from RefSeq and is a predicted model, not a curated record. The transcript is spliced from 2 exons.
GGGACUGGGUGGAUAGUCCCUUCAUGGGUCCCAGGCCCAGAGGGGGUCUUGCUUGGGGUGUGACACUCUAGAGCCUGCUCCAUCCUCAGCACUCCCUCAUCCAUGUGUGCAGGAAGAGGCUCUGCUGCCUCUGGCCAGGCUGUGUUUCGUUAGCAUCUGGGAAGCCACGUCCCAACUACAGAUGUGGUCCAUGUGAUGGGCCCGGCUUGGGGCCUUUGUACUCGCCUUUUGUCUUCUGUGUAUUUUAAGUGCAUUGAGGACUGACGCUGGUGGGUGAGCCGCCCCGUUCUGGGUAGACUUGGACUGAAGUUUCCCUUGAAGCUGGCAUGACUGUAGAUAUUACUUUAAAUGUCUACAGGAGCCAGAGAAGGCUUCUGCACCCCACCUGCCCUUCCACCUGACAGGAGACAUGUGUGAGCUGGUUUCCUCAUGGGUGGACAGAAGGUGAACCUGCCUCCAUGCAGAACCGAACUGGGAACUUUAGGGAGCUCUGAAGGUUAUGACCAUGUAGACCCUCCUCUCUCCAUGUCAGAGUGCCAGAAGGCUCCUUGGCGGUGUCUGGGAAAACCCUCUAUGGACCGCCUGUGGGAAACUCCCAGCUUUCCCCACACCAGCGUUCACAGAAAUUAUUUUCUAGAUCUUCAUGCUGCCAUCACGAGGCCACCUGCACAGGAGGACAUGGGACACAGAAUUAGUGGAAGGAGCAGUGUCAACCCCGGGGACCCUUCCUGACCCCUUUGCUGGGGCCCUUUGUGACUUCCCACCAGUGUUGUGUGACCUUCAGCCAGUUCCUGCACUGAGCAGCCAAUUCCUACAUCUGCUAGAGGCACAGUGACGUGGACACUCUAUGACAAGCAGAGGAUGGACAGUGAGGAGGGCGGAGACCUUUUCUUCAGAGCCUGGCUAGGCCAGGCCCCACCUUCCUGUGACUUCUCCUUCCUAAGCUUUUAAAUCUACCCUGAGCGUGCAGGGUCUUGUGUUACUCAGAGCUGUGCAGGGUAAUGAUGACAUAUUUAUUCUUUUUCCAUUUGUACAUUCAGAUGUUCUUAAUAAAAUUUUCUAGAUGCUGGAAUCCUAGAAACAGUGCCUUUUUCAUUCCAUUAAGUUUUCUUUAGGCUGAGAGCUGUAUAAAACAUUUUGGACUGUGAUUGUGUACCUUUGUAAGGAAAAUAAACUGCUUUAUGGUUGUCAGUA